This 471-nucleotide ribosomal RNA is filed under the name uncultured bacterium. RNAcentral describes it as "bacterial SSU rRNA". It matches the Rfam family "Bacterial small subunit ribosomal RNA", at positions 36 to 507 of the family's 1533-position model. The record is from RNAcentral.
CUGGCGGCGUGCCUAACACAUGCAAGUCAACUUGACUGAAGGAGCAAUCUGACAGUAGAGUGGCGCAAGGGUGCGUAACGCGUAAGUAACUUGCCCAAGGUAAGGAAUAACGUCGAGAAAUCGGCGCUAAUACCUCAUAAUGCAGCGGAUCCGCAUGGAUAUGUUGUUAAAGGUUUACCGCCUUGGGAUAGGUUUGCGUCUGAUUAGCUAGUUGGUGUGGUAACGGCACACCAAGGCUACGAUCAGUAACUGGUCUGAGAGGAUGAUCAGUCACACUGGAACUGAGACACGGUCCAGACUCCUACGGGAGGCAGCAGUGAGGAAUAUUGGGCAAUGCUCGAAAGAGUGACCCAGCAACGCCGCGUGGAGGAUGAAGGUAUUCUAUAUCGUAAACUCCUGUGAGAGCAGACGAAAGACAGAUUAUUAAUCUGGAUGACUGUAUGCUCAGAGGAAGCCCCGGCUAACUACGUG